Molecule: non-coding RNA, 83 nt
Organism: Pseudomonas cichorii JBC1
Lineage: Bacteria; Pseudomonadati; Pseudomonadota; Gammaproteobacteria; Pseudomonadales; Pseudomonadaceae
Source: Rfam
GCCCCGAUGGCGAAAUUGGUAGACGCAAGGGACUUAAAAUCCCUCGUCCUCUGGACGUGCCGGUUCGACCCCGGCUCGGGGCA